RNAcentral lists this ribosomal RNA (460 nucleotides) under uncultured bacterium. RNAcentral describes it as "partial 16S ribosomal RNA". It matches the Rfam family "Bacterial small subunit ribosomal RNA", at positions 338 to 795 of the family's 1533-position model. The record is from RNAcentral.
CCUACGGGAGGCAGCAGUGAGGAAUAUUGGUCAAUGGACGAGAGUCUGAACCAGCCAAGUAGCGUGAAGGAUGACUGCCCUAUGGGUUGUAAACUUCUUUUAUAUGGGAAUAAAGUGUUCCACGUGUGGGAUUUUGUAUGUACCUUAUGAAUAAGGAUCGGCUAACUCCGUGCCAGCAGCCGCAGUAAUACGGAGGAUCCGAGCGUUAUCCGGAUUUAUUGGGUUUAAAGGGAGCGUAGGUGGUUUCUUAAGUCAGUUGUGAAAGUUUGCGGCUCAACCGUAAAAUUGCAGUUGAAACUGGCAGUCUUGAGUACAGUAGAGGUGGGCGGAAUUCGUGGUGUAGCGGUGAAAUGCUUAGAUAUCACGAAGAACUCCGAUUGCGAAGGCAGUUCACUGGACUGCAACUGACACUGAGGCUCGAAAGUGUGGGUAUCAAACAGGAUUAGAUACCCGGGUAGUC